This 301-nucleotide unclassified non-coding RNA is filed under the name uncultured fungus. RNAcentral describes it as "partial contains small subunit ribosomal RNA, internal transcribed spacer 1, and 5.8S ribosomal RNA". The stretch from base 1 to 73 matches the Rfam family "Eukaryotic small subunit ribosomal RNA", at positions 1759 to 1831 of the family's 1831-position model. Lineage: Eukaryota; Fungi. The record is from RNAcentral.
ACAAACUUGGUCAUUUAGAGGAAGUAAAAGUCGUAACAAGGUUUCCGUAGGUGAACCUGCGGAAGGAUCAUUACAGAGUUUGACAUCCCUUCGAUGUCUUCUCCCACCCUUUGUUAACUUAAACUUGUUGCUUUGACGAAUCGUCUUUUAAUUAAGCCUUCGGUUCCUAACCGAUCUGAAGUGUGUUCGUCAAAGGUUAAAACUUUAACUCUUUAAAAUCAUGAAAUCUGAGUUUAAAUUUUAAAAAAACAAAACUUUCAACAACGGAUCUCUUGGUUCUGGCAUCGAUGAAGAACGCAGC